Molecule: long non-coding RNA, 229 nt
Filed under: Elaeis guineensis (African oil palm)
Lineage: Eukaryota; Viridiplantae; Streptophyta; Magnoliopsida; Arecales; Arecaceae
Description: long non-coding RNA (EGUI_LNC021170)
Source: RNAcentral
GGCUGGGGAGUAGUAGUUGAGGUUGGCGACGUUCAAGGGGGAGCUUUUAAGAUUGAGUGCUCCAUACAAUCUGCACAGGAUAAAUUUGAUCACCGGAGAUUUUUCGAUGAAAAAUUUUUUGAUACUUAAAUCAAUCAGAGUUUUGAAAAUAAUGAAAAAGUUUUUUAAUAAAAAAAUAAUUUUUAAAUUUAAAAAAAAAUCUACAGAAGAAUCCUCUAUAUCUCCUUCC